This 776-nucleotide ribosomal RNA is filed under the name uncultured bacterium. Its description in RNAcentral is "bacterial SSU rRNA". It matches the Rfam family "Bacterial small subunit ribosomal RNA", at positions 71 to 833 of the family's 1533-position model. The record is from RNAcentral.
UGAUUGACGAUGGAUCACCAGUGAGUGGCGGACGGGUGAGUAACACGUAGGUAACCUGCCCCGGAGCGGGGGAUAACAUUUGGAAACAGAUGCUAAUACCGCAUAACAACAAAAGCCACAUGGCUUUUGUUUGAAAGAUGGCUUUGGCUAUCACUCUGGGAUGGACCUGCGGUGCAUUAGCUAGUUGGUAAGGUAACGGCUUACCAAGGCGAUGAUGCAUAGCCGAGUUGAGAGACUGAUCGGCCACAAUGGAACUGAGACACGGUCCAUACUCCUACGGGAGGCAGCAGUAGGGAAUCUUCCACAAUGGGCGCAAGCCUGAUGGAGCAACACCGCGUGAGUGAAGAAGGGUUUCGGCUCGUAAAGCUCUGUUGUUGGAGAAGAACGUGCGUGAGAGUAACUGUUCACGCAGUGACGGUAUCCAACCAGAAAGUCACGGCUAACUACGUGCCAGCAGCCGCGGUAAUACGUAGGUGGCAAGCGUUAUCCGGAUUUAUUGGGCGUAAAGCGAGCGCAGGCGGUUGCUUAGGUCUGAUGUGAAAGCCUUCGGCUUAACCGAAGAAGUGCAUCGGAAACCGGGCAACUUGAGUGCAGAAGAGGACAGUGGAACUCCAUGUGUAGCGGUGGAAUGCGUAGAUAUAUGGAAGAACACCAGUGGCGAAGGCGGCUGUCUGGUCUGCAACUGACGCUGAGGCUCGAAAGCAUGGGUAGCGAACAGGAUUAGAUACCCUGGUAGUCCAUGCCGUAAACGAUGAGUGCUAGGUGUUGGAGGGUUU